AGACUGGAAGCUGGGGCAAGAACCAAGGUAGCAUUGCUAGAGAGCUGACAGCAGAGACCCAAACCCCCUUCCCAGCUACCUUCCAACACCAAGGCGCUAGUCUUCACAAAGCUCCCUGGCCAGACUAUGCAGGAGCAUCAUCCUCUUUGAGGGUAAAAGGAUGAACACACAGUAGCUGCUGAGGAUCUGGUCUUCCUGAUUCUCCAGGGAAUGGAUCCUUCAUCUUCAUCUCUUUCUCUUGCCAAGAAAGGAGAACACACACUGAGUCCGAGCUCUGCUGUCCCUGGGACUGCUCUGUCAUCUACCCUGGGAAAGUAGCCUCUCCCCUUUCUGCAGCCCAGUGGUGGUGGGAAGCCCCACAAGGACAACUUCCAUUCCUCCUUUUUCUAGCCCUAUCUGAACAUUCUCUCCAGUACGUCCAUCCUCAGCAUUUGAAUUUCCUCCUGCUCUCCUCUGUCCCCUUAGAGACUAAAGGCUGGUCCUCAGCUCACUCCAGCCACCACCCUCAGAUCCAACACCCCCAAGACUGGUUCCACCUCCCUGUGUUGCCACCUUGUGGUCACUGGGUCAGCUCUAAGCUUUACCCAGAGCUCCAUGGCUACUCCUGACUCCAUCCUGGCUGUUUCUCCCUGGGUGGUCUUGCCUGGGUCUCCACUCUGGGUUUUCUGCAGAUGGGACCCUCUGCCUCCCACAAGCCCCUGAACCCUCUC
Long non-coding RNA from Pteropus alecto (black flying fox), 710 nucleotides. RefSeq lists it as uncharacterized. NCBI's taxonomy places the organism in Eukaryota, Metazoa, Chordata, Mammalia, Chiroptera, Pteropodidae. The record is from RefSeq and is a predicted model, not a curated record. The transcript has 3 exons.